UACGUAGGGCGCAAGCGUUGUCCGGAAUUAUUGGGCGUAAAGAGCGCGUAGGCGGUCCGAUAAGUCGGCUGUGAAAGUCAGGGGCUCAACCCUUGAAAGCCGGCCGAUACUGUCGGACUAGAGUCCGGAAGAGGCAAGUGGAAUUCCCGGUGUAGCGGUGAAAUGCGCAGAUAUCGGGAGGAACACCAAUGGCGAAGGCAGCUUGCUGGGACGGUACUGACGCUGAGGCGCGAAAGCGUGGGGAGCGAACAGG
This 253-nucleotide ribosomal RNA is filed under the name uncultured bacterium. RNAcentral's name for it is "partial 16S ribosomal RNA". It matches the Rfam family "Bacterial small subunit ribosomal RNA", at positions 524 to 776 of the family's 1533-position model. The record is from RNAcentral.